This 720-nucleotide ribosomal RNA is filed under the name Sugarcane phytoplasma type G. RNAcentral describes it as "bacterial SSU rRNA". It matches the Rfam family "Bacterial small subunit ribosomal RNA", at positions 800 to 1525 of the family's 1533-position model. The record is from RNAcentral. Lineage: Bacteria; Bacillati; Mycoplasmatota; Mollicutes; Acholeplasmatales; Acholeplasmataceae.
CCGUAAACGAUGAGUACUAAACGUUGGGUAAAACCAGUGUUGAAGUUAACACAUUAAGUACUCCGCCUGAGUAGUACGUACGCAAGUAUGAAACUUAAAGGAAUUGACGGGACUCCGCACAAGCGGUGGAUCAUGUUGUUUAAUUCGAAGGUACCCGAAAAACCUCACCAGGUCUUGACAUGCUUCUGCAAAGCUGUAGAAACACAGUGGAGGUUAUCAGUUGCACAGGUGGUGCAUGGUUGUCGUCAGCUCGUGUCGUGAGAUGUUGGGUUAAGUCCCGCAACGAGCGCAACCCUUAUUGUUAGUUACCAGCACGUAAUGGUGGGGACUUUAGCAAGACUGCCAGUGAUAAAUUGGAGGAAGGUGGGGACGACGUCAAAUCAUCAUGCCCCUUAUGACCUGGGCUACAAACGUGAUACAAUGGCUGUUACAGAGGGUAGCUGAAGCGCAAGCUUUUGGCGAAUCUCAAAAAAACAGUCUCAGUACGGAUUGAAGUCUGCAACUCGACUUCAUGAAGUUGGAAUCGCUAGUAAUCGCGAAUCAGCAUGUCGCGGUGAUACGUUCUCGGGGUUUGUACACACCGCCCGCCAAACCACGAAAGUUGGCAAUACCCAAAGCCGGUGGCCUAACUUCGCAAGAAGAGGGAACCGUCUAAGGUAGGGUCGGAGAUUGGGUUUGACUUAUAACAGUGUAUCCCCCCCGGAAGGUGGGGAUGGAUCA